UAAGUGAUACACACACAUCGGCUUCUUAAUAUGCACUUUAAGCUAUUGCAAUACACAUUAGCAGCUAAGCAUCGAUCCAAUACAUACCUUUAGGUUUGUCGAUACAUACUUUUCAGAUCAUGGUGUUCAGCAUUCCACACUGCAUGGCCAAAUGAUACACACCUAGCAGAAUGACCGUCCAAGUUUAAAUAUAUACCUUUAAAUAUACCGAUACAUAGUUCCGACAAUUUAGUGUUUACGAGUACACACCACAUGACUAAGUGAUACACACUCAUCGGCUUCUUGAUACACACUUUAAGCUAUUGCAAUACACAUUAACUUUUGGUGAGGAGAGCUCGGCAUCCCGAAUGGAACUUGUACUAGAACUUGAAAUCUCAUCUCUUGAGUACUCUUCCAACUUUUUUCUAGCAUAAUUUAUAAAAAGAAGAGAAGAAGAAGAAAAACAAAAUGAUAAAAAAAAUUAAUUUUUUAACAUAAAAAAUUAUAUACAUACUAUUCCUCAGAUUUCAUGAACUCUUAGAUACAAAGAUCUUAAAAAAUAGAGAAAUUUCGAGGAGAAAAAAACUCGAGGAGAAAAGGAUGGGAGAGAUGGGUUGGAGAGAUGGCUACAAUUUGUAACCAACCCAUCUCUCCAAUCGCAAUAGCUAAUGUGUAUUGCAAUAGCUUAAAGUGUGUAUCAAGAAGCCGAUGAGUGUGUAUUACUUAGUCGUGUGGUGUGUACUGGUGAACACCAAGUUGUCGGAACGAUAUAUUGAUAUACAUAAAGGUAUGUAUUGAAACUUGGAUAGCCAUUCUGCUAGGUGUGUAUCAUUUGGGCAUGCAGUGUGUAUUGCUGAACACCAUGAUCUGAAAAAUAUGUAUCGAUAUACCUAAAGGUAUGUAUUGAAUCAAUGUUUAGCUGCUAAUGUGUAUUUUCAAUAGUUUAAAGUAUGUAUCAAGAAGCCGAUGAGUGUGUAUCACUUAGCCAUGUGGUGUGUACUGGUGAACACUAAAUUGUCCAAACUAUGUAUCGAUAUACUUAAGGUAUGUAUUGAAACUUGGAUGGCCAUUCUGCUAGGUGUGUAUCAUUUGGCGAUGCAGUGUAUACUGCUGAACACCAUGAUCUGGAAAGUAUGUAUCGAUAUACCUAAAGGUAUGUAUUGGAUCGAUGCUUAGCAUGUAUUAAUAAGCUUAAAAUGUGUAGCAAGAAGCCGAUGAGUGUGUAUCACUUAGCCAUGUGGUGUGUACUGGUA
This 1232-nucleotide long non-coding RNA is filed under the name Phoenix dactylifera (date palm). RNAcentral's name for it is "long non-coding RNA (PDAC_LNC015365)". The record is from RNAcentral. Lineage: Eukaryota; Viridiplantae; Streptophyta; Magnoliopsida; Arecales; Arecaceae.